Molecule: ribosomal RNA, 253 nt
Filed under: uncultured bacterium
Lineage: Bacteria
Description: partial 16S ribosomal RNA
Rfam family: Bacterial small subunit ribosomal RNA
Source: RNAcentral
UACGAAGGGGGCUAGCGUUGCUCGGAAUCACUGGGCGUAAAGGGUGCGUAGGCGGGUCUUUAAGUCAGGGGUGAAAUCCUGGAGCUCAACUCCAGAACUGCCUUUGAUACUGAAGAUCUUGAGUUCGGGAGAGGUGAGUGGAACUGCGAGUGUAGAGGUGAAAUUCGUAGAUAUUCGCAGGAACACCGGUGGCGAAGGCGACAUCCUGGACCGGUAUUGACGCUGAGGCGCGAAAGCCAGGGGAGCAAACGGG